GACGAACGCUGGCGGCGUGCCUAAUACAUGCAAGUCGAACGCUUCUUUCCUCCCGAGUGCUUGCACUCAAUUGGAAAGAGGAGUGGCGGACGGGUGAGUAACACGUGGGUAACCUACCCAUCAGAGGGGGAUAACACUUGGAAACAGGUGCUAAUACCGCAUAACAGUUUAUGCCGCAUGGCAUAAGAGUGAAAGGCGCUUUCGGGUGUCGUUGAUGGAUGGACCCGCGGUGCAUUAGCUAGUUGGUGAGGUAACGGCUCACCAAGGCCACGAUGCAUAGCCGACCUGAGAGGGUGAUCGGCCAUACUGGGACUGAGACACGGCCCAGACUCCUACGGGAGGCAGCAGUAGGGAAUCUUCGGCAAUGGACGAAAGUCUGACCGAGCAACGCCGCGUGAGUGAAGAAGGUUUUCGGAUCGUAAAACUCUGUUGUUAGAGAAGAACAAGGACGUUAGUAACUGAACGUCCCCUGACGGUAUCUAACCAGAAAGCCACGGCUAACUACGUG
Molecule: ribosomal RNA, 508 nt
Filed under: uncultured bacterium
Lineage: Bacteria
Description: partial 16S ribosomal RNA
Rfam family: Bacterial small subunit ribosomal RNA
Source: RNAcentral